CAAUCGACGAUAUUUUAAUUUUAAAAUAUGAAUACAUCAAUAAUUUUAAUAGAUUUAAGUAGUGUAUUUUAUAUAAUUUUCGCAACUAUAAAUUUAUUAAAUUAAAUAAUAAAUUUUAAUUUUGAAGUUAAAAUAUUAUUGGCUAAUUUAAAUCAAACAAAUUGAAAAAUUAGAUAAUAAAAUUAAAAUUUUUAAAAAUUAAAUAAUUGAUUUAAAACAAUAUAAGCUUUGUAUGUUUUUAUCAACUUUUUUAUGUGCCAGUUACAUAUGAUAAGAUGACGGCACCAUAUGGCGUUGACUACUACAAAUAAGAUGAGAAGAUAAUAGAUGAUAGGAUGGAUAGACAGGUGAAAUGUGCAAAACACUCUCAAACCUAAAUAUUUUUUUAAAAAAAUCAAACCUGUUCUGAUUUCUUCUCGACGAAACAAGACAGGGCUGACUAUACAA
Molecule: long non-coding RNA, 447 nt
Filed under: Ananas comosus (pineapple)
Lineage: Eukaryota; Viridiplantae; Streptophyta; Magnoliopsida; Poales; Bromeliaceae
Description: long non-coding RNA (ACOM_LNC042569)
Source: RNAcentral